AUUCCAGCUCCAAUAGCGUAUAUUAAAGUUGUUGCAGUUAAAACGCUCGUAGUCGGAUUUCAGAGUGAGCUCGUCCGGUCGGCCUAAAUGGUCUGAACUGGUUGACUCUCUCUUGCUUGUGGAUCCCGCCCGGAGUUAACUCUUCGGAUGUGGACUUCACAUCGUUUACCUUGAAAAAAUUAGAGUGUUCAAAGCAGGCGUAUGCUUGAAUAUAUUAGCAUGGAAUAAUGGAAUAGGACCCUGGUUCUAUUUUGUUGGUUUUGAGGACCAGAGUAAUGAUUAAUAGGGAUAGUUGGGGGCAUUCAUAUUUCAUUGUCAGAGGUGAAAUUCUUGGAUUUAUGAAAGAUGAACUUCUGCGAAAGCAUUUGCCAAGGAUGUUUUCAUCG
Molecule: ribosomal RNA, 386 nt
Filed under: Telonemia sp.
Lineage: Eukaryota; Telonemia
Description: partial small subunit ribosomal RNA
Rfam family: Eukaryotic small subunit ribosomal RNA
Source: RNAcentral